This 73-nucleotide transfer RNA is filed under the name Firmicutes bacterium CAG:103. It matches the Rfam family "tRNA". Rfam says of the family: Transfer RNA (tRNA) molecules are approximately 80 nucleotides in length. Their secondary structure includes four short double-helical elements and three loops (D, anti-codon, and T loops). Lineage: Bacteria; Bacillati; Bacillota. The record is from Rfam by way of RNAcentral.
CGGGGUGUAGCGCAGAUGGUAGCGCGCAUGGUUCGGGACCAUGAGGCCGCGAGUUCAAGUCUCGCCACUCCGA